AUUGAACUUUGAAAGACAGCGCUGUCCAAUGGCUAUUGCUUUGGUGGUAUCACAUAACAUUUGUGAAUGGUAGAGUGAACGACUGGCUUUGCCAAACUGAAAGCCAUUUGACCGUAAAUACACUUGUGCAAUAUUUGUUUUCAGACAUACCGUUGCGUUUUGUUCUCAAAUUACAUAAUAGUUAAGAUAGAAAAAAAUCAGUCCAGAAUAAAUUAUAUUCAUUAAAUCCUUAAAUAAAGAUGAUAUCGAGCGAUUAUUUAUCUUAUAGAUACUAUAAGAUAAAUAUUUAUAAUCUUUUUCGAUAAUAAUUUAUUGUUUUCAACAUAAUUAUUUAUAAUGGUUAAACAAACCGCUUUGCUAAAUGUCAAUUACACCCAACAUAAACUACUAAGUUUUCGUAAAUUUUCGUGUUUUCUUUUAUCUGAAGUGUUUUCCACGUGUUUUCAUCUUUGUUUGAAAUAUAUACGAGUAGGUCUAUACUGCCGGAGCCGGAUUUUAUGCAAAAACUGUCGGAAGGGGUUGGUUAGGCGGUACGUGCUCGGCUCGUGGAGCUGGAGGAGCGUCGGCUCCGCCAGACGGAUCGUCGCAUCGACUUUGAGGAGCGUCGGCUGGCUGUGGAGACGCAACAACUCGCCGUGGAGGAGCGACGACUCGCCUUUGAGCAGGAACUAGGAACGCCAACUCGCCCCCUAAAACAUGUUAUAAUAUACUUACUGUGAUUUUUAUUAUUUAAUUGUAAUAUUGCUAUAAUAUACUGUGAUAUUUAUGUAGAUCCAUGGUAAAUUAUUAUAAUGACUGUUUAGAUAAUAAAUGCAACAAAUUAAUACAUACUUAACUGUGAUUUUUAUGUAGAUCUAAGGUAAAUUAUUAAAAUUGCCAUGUUUAGGUAAUAAAUGCAACAAAUGAAAACAUAAUAUUAUAGGUACUUUUUUAUGCGAGAGGCCUAUAUAGUUAGGUGAUACUAGGCCACAAUUUUUUUCUGGUAAGUACAUUCCAUUCCCAUAAAAGGCAACAGCAGCAAGAAUCUAAAA
Long non-coding RNA from Plutella xylostella (diamondback moth), 1031 nucleotides. RefSeq lists it as uncharacterized. The record is from RefSeq and is a predicted model, not a curated record. NCBI's taxonomy places the organism in Eukaryota, Metazoa, Arthropoda, Insecta, Lepidoptera, Plutellidae.